RNAcentral lists this ribosomal RNA (497 nucleotides) under uncultured bacterium. Its description in RNAcentral is "partial 16S ribosomal RNA". It matches the Rfam family "Bacterial small subunit ribosomal RNA", at positions 28 to 507 of the family's 1533-position model. The record is from RNAcentral.
GAUGAACGCUGGCGGCGUGCCUAAUACAUGCAAGUCGAGCGAACAGACGAGGAGCUUGCUCCUCUGACGUUAGCGGCGGACGGGUGAGUAACACGUGGAUAACCUACCUAUAAGACUGGGAUAACUUCGGGAAACCGGAGCUAGUACCGGAUAAUAUAUUGAACCGCAUGGUUCAAUAGUGAAAGACGGUUUUGCUGUCACUUAUAGAUGGAUCCGCGCCGCAUUAGCUAGUUGGUAAGGUAACGGCUUACCAAGGCGACGAUGCGUAGCCGACCUGAGAGGGUGAUCGGCCACACUGGAACUGAGACACGGUCCAGACUCCUACGGGAGGCAGCAGUAGGGAAUCUUCCGCAAUGGGCGAAAGCCUGACGGAGCAACGCCGCGUGAGUGAUGAAGGUCUUCGGAUCGUAAAACUCUGUUAUUAGGGAAGAACAAAUGUGUAAGUAACUAUGCACGUCUUGACGGUACCUAAUCAGAAAGCCACGGCUAACUACGUG